Molecule: ribosomal RNA, 460 nt
Filed under: uncultured bacterium
Lineage: Bacteria
Description: partial 16S ribosomal RNA
Rfam family: Bacterial small subunit ribosomal RNA
Source: RNAcentral
CCUACGGGAGGCAGCAGUGAGGAAUAUUGGUCAAUGGACGCGAGUCUGAACCAGCCAAGUAGCGUGAAGAAUGACUGCCCUAUGGGUUGUAAACUUCUUUUAUAUGGGAAUAAAAUGUUCCACGUGUGGGUUUUUGUCUGUACCAUAUGAAUAAGGAUCGGCUAACUCCGUGCCAGCAGCCGCGGUCAUACGGAGGAUCCGCGCGUUAUCCGGAUUUAUUGGGUUUAAAGGGAGCGUAGGUGGAUUGUUAAGUCAGUUGUGAAAGUUUGCGGCUCAACCGUAAAAUUGCAGUUGAAACUGGCAGUCGUGAGUACAGGAGAGGUGGGCGGAAGUCGUGGUGGAGCGGUGAAAUGCUUAGAUAUCACGAAGAACUCCGAUUGCGAAGGCAGUUCACUGGACUGCAACUGACACUGAGGCUCGAAAGUGUGGGUAUCAAACAGGAUUAGAUACCCCAGUAGUC